This 1032-nucleotide long non-coding RNA is filed under the name Homo sapiens (human). Its description in RNAcentral is "long intergenic non-protein coding RNA 1821". Lineage: Eukaryota; Metazoa; Chordata; Mammalia; Primates; Hominidae. The record is from RNAcentral.
AUCAAGAGAAAAACAGUCUUAGAUGCAACAUAAAAAUUUCAGAGACAGAAGAAAUCUUCCUUUGAGGGCAGGUUUUUUGGGAAAGAUAUAUAGCUUUUGGCAGAAGAAAAUCAGUGACAAUGACUUAGAAGAAUCUUAAUCUCAUGAAAGAAAUAAAUGCUUGUCAGUCAAGAAGUUGUAACCUUUACCUUGUUUUGACCUUUACAUUUUCAAGUGAUACACUUAUGUGAGAUUUUGAAAAGUGAAAAAUCAAAGGUGGAAUUGACCAGUAGAUGUAAAAGUACAACAAAUAAACAAAAAUGGCAAUGUUGAAAGUGAAACUGAAAUUCAACAGAAAUAAAAGAAAUAGCAGACUGGGGGGAUAUUGACUUUGACACCAUGAUGCCAGAGGAACUUAGUGAUGGCAAACUUAUCAAUAUAAAAUGAGGAUAUUGGUUGUCAACUAGGUUGUGUGGUGGUCCUUGAUCUUGUCCAUCAAGUCCUUUUUCCCAAAGGAUAACUGAAGAAGAUCACAUACAUUCCAACUUAUUGAGUCUGAUAGGUAUUCAUCUGAUGAGCUCCUCUUCAACUGAGGAUUGAAAUGCUGUUUUUCUUCCCUGGUACAAUGUUAAAGCUUUAAACUCUUGUCAAUGAUGUGAUGUUUCAUCUGCAAUGAUCUACACUAGAAAAAUAAAAAUGUAGUUACUGACAAAAAAGCAGUACUCCAGGCAGAUUUAUAAAGGAAGCUGCUGGAAGGAAUUCAUUCCCUUUUUGCUGUUCUGCCUUCCACCUUCCACUGUGUGAGGACACUGCAAGAAAGCCCUCAUCAGACACCAACUGCCAGCACCUAGAUCUUGGAAUUCUCAGCCUCCAGAACUGUGAGAAACACGUUUCUGUUUUUCUAUAAAAUAAUAAUAAUAAAAAACUUCCAUGCAGGAAAAAAAAUCAAGUUCAAAGGUCCUGUGGUGAGGGCAUACCAGCUUUGUUUGAGAAGCAGUAAUCAUGCCUGUGUGACUGUAAUGAAAGAAUAAAAGAGAAAUGAGCACAGAAGAA